UCGGAACGUGCCCAAUCGUGGGGGAUAACGUAGCGAAAGUUACGCUAAUACCGCAUACGAUCUACGGAUGAAAGCGGGGAUCGCAAGACCUCGCGCGAAUGGAGCGGCCGAUGUCAGAUUAGGUAGUUGGUGGGGUAAAGGCUCACCAAGCCGACGAUCUGUAGCUGGUCUUAGAGGACGACCAGCCACACUGGGACUGAGACACGGCCCAGACUCCUACGGGAGGCAGCAGUGGGAAUUUUGGACAAUGGGCGCAAGCCUGAUCCAGCCAUUCCGCGUGCAGGAUGAAGGCCUUCGGGUUGUAAACUGUCUUUUGUACGGAACGAAACGGUUCUCUCUAAUACAGGGGGCUAAUGACGGUACCGUAAGAAUAAGCACCGGCUAACUACGUG
This 392-nucleotide ribosomal RNA is filed under the name uncultured bacterium. Its description in RNAcentral is "bacterial SSU rRNA". It matches the Rfam family "Bacterial small subunit ribosomal RNA", at positions 118 to 507 of the family's 1533-position model. The record is from RNAcentral.